This 408-nucleotide ribosomal RNA is filed under the name uncultured bacterium. Its description in RNAcentral is "partial 16S ribosomal RNA". It matches the Rfam family "Bacterial small subunit ribosomal RNA", at positions 28 to 526 of the family's 1533-position model. The record is from RNAcentral.
GACGAACGCUGGCGGCGUGCUUAACACAUGCAAGUCGAACGGAGUGGCGAACGGGUGAGUAUUACGUGAGUAACCUGCCCUCAACUGUGGGAUAAGCCUGGGAAACUGGGUCUAAUACUGCAUAGUUGGGGGUGGGCUCGCGGCAUUUCAGGUUGUUGGGGGGGUGAGGGCUUACCAAGGCGGUGACGGGUAGCCGGCCGGAGAGGGUGGUCGGCCAUAUUGGGACUGAGAUACGGCCCAGACGCCUACGUGUGGCAACAGUGGGAGAUAUUGCACAAUGGGCGCAAGCCUGAUGCAGCGACGCCGCGUGGGGGAUGAAGGCUUUCGGGUUGUAAACCUGUUUCGGUACAGAACGGGUAUGUGCAGAAGAAGCGCCGGCUAACUACGUGCCAGCCGCCGCGGUAAUAC